Molecule: ribosomal RNA, 253 nt
Filed under: uncultured microorganism
Description: partial 16S ribosomal RNA
Rfam family: Bacterial small subunit ribosomal RNA
Source: RNAcentral
UACGUAGGUGGCAAGCGUUGUCCGGAAGUAUUGGGCGUAAAGGGCUCGCAGGCGGUUUCUUAAGUCUGAUGUGAAAGCCCCCGGCUCAACCGGGGAGGGUCAUUGGAAACUGGGAAACUUGAGUGCAGAAGAGGAGAGUGGAAUUCCACGUGUAGCGGUGAAAUGCGUAGAGAUGUGGAGGAACACCAGUGGCGAAGGCGACUCUCUGGUCUGUAACUGACGCUGAGGAGCGAAAGCGUGGGGAGCGAACAGG